Molecule: signal recognition particle RNA, 266 nt
Filed under: Bacillota bacterium
Lineage: Bacteria; Bacillati; Bacillota
Description: signal recognition particle sRNA large type
Rfam family: Bacterial large signal recognition particle RNA
About the family: The signal recognition particle (SRP) is a universally conserved ribonucleoprotein involved in the co-translational targeting of proteins to membranes. Archaeal SRP consists of a 7S RNA and homologues of the eukaryotic SRP19 and SRP54 proteins.
Source: RNAcentral
UCGUGCUAGAUGGGGAGUCAGCGGUGCCUUGUAACCUGCAAUCCGCUAUAGCAGGGUUGAAUUCCUGGUCUAAGGCUUUAACAUGUGGAGCCUGACCUAUAUAAGUGGUGUUGAGAAUUGGGUCCCACGCAACGGAAAUUCAUGAACCCCGUCAGGUCCGGAAGGAAGCAGCGGUAAGUGAACACUUCCGUGUGCCGUGGAACAACCUGAUUUGAGCUAACUGUAUAGGUAACGUCCAUAUGUUACUGUCGAAGCCAGGUGCACGG